Small nucleolar RNA from Astyanax mexicanus (Mexican tetra), 73 nucleotides. The record is from Ensembl. NCBI's taxonomy places the organism in Eukaryota, Metazoa, Chordata, Actinopteri, Characiformes, Acestrorhamphidae.
UUUCAGUGAUGAAAACUUGUCCAGUUCUGCUACUGAACAUUUGUGAUGGAUAAUUCAGUUCCAACGCUGAGAA